CCUACGGGUGGCAGCAGUAGGGAAUAUUGCUCAAUGGGGGAAACCCUGAAGCAGCAACGCCGCGUGGAGGAUGAAGGUUUUCGGAUUGUAAACUCCUUUUGUUAGAGAAGAUGAUGACGGUAUCUAAAGAAUAAGCACCGGCUAACUCCGUGCCAGGAGCCGCGGUAAUACGGAGGGUGCAAGCGUUACUCGGAAUCACUGGGCGUAAAGGGCGCGUAGGCGGGAUAGCAAGUCAGGUGUGAAAUCCUAGGGCUCAACCAGAGAACUGCAUUUGAAACUGUGAUUCUAGAGUUUGGGAGAGGUAGGUGGAAUUCAUGGUGUAGGGGUAAAAUCCGUAGAGAUCAGGAGGAAUACAGAGGGCGAGGGGGCCCUGCUGGAACGUGACUGACGCUGAGGCGCGAAAGCGUGGGGAGCAAACAGGAUUAGAUACCCGAGUAGUC
RNAcentral lists this ribosomal RNA (440 nucleotides) under uncultured bacterium. Its description in RNAcentral is "partial 16S ribosomal RNA". It matches the Rfam family "Bacterial small subunit ribosomal RNA", at positions 338 to 795 of the family's 1533-position model. The record is from RNAcentral.